RNAcentral lists this ribosomal RNA (330 nucleotides) under Neoxanthias impressus. RNAcentral's name for it is "partial large subunit ribosomal RNA". Lineage: Eukaryota; Metazoa; Arthropoda; Malacostraca; Decapoda; Xanthidae. The record is from RNAcentral.
AUUAAUAGAUAUAGACUUUAAACUUGAAGAAUUUGGCGGUGACUUAAUCUUAUUAGAGGAACCUGUUUUUGAAUCGAUACACCACGCAAAAUCUUACUCAUUUUAUUUAGUUUGUAUACCGUCAUUAUCAGAUGAUUUUAAUAGAAAUUUAAUCAUUAAAGAUUAUAAAUAAUAAAUUAAAUUAGAUCAAGGUGUAGCCUAUAAAUGAGUUAAAAUGGGUUACAAUAAAUAUUUAUUUAUUACGGAUUAGUAGUAAAGAAAUACACUAGGAAGGAGGAUUUAACUGUAAUUUGAGUUUAAUAAGCUUGAAAGAUAUAAGCUCUAGGUCAU